ACAGCCUUGCAACAUUGAAAACACCAGUUCUCGCCCGUUCACCCAAGUUAAGCAACGUCAAGCCUGGUCAGUACUUGGGAGGGUGACUACUUGGGAAUACUGGGUGCUGUAAGUA
Molecule: non-coding RNA, 115 nt
Organism: Cordylochernes scorpioides
Lineage: Eukaryota; Metazoa; Arthropoda; Arachnida; Pseudoscorpiones; Chernetidae
Source: the annotation of a GenBank genome assembly